Molecule: ribosomal RNA, 489 nt
Filed under: uncultured bacterium
Lineage: Bacteria
Description: partial 16S ribosomal RNA
Rfam family: Bacterial small subunit ribosomal RNA
Source: RNAcentral
UUGAACGCUGGCGGCAGGCCUAACACAUGCAAGUCGAACGGUAACAGGAAGCAGCUUGCUGCUUCGCUGACGAGUGGCGGACGGGUGAGUAAUGUCUGGGAAGCUGCCUGAUGGAGGGGGAUAACUACUGGAAACGGUAGCUAAUACCGCAUAAUGUCGCAUGACCAAAGAGGGGGACCUUCGGGCCUCUUGCCAUCGGAUGUGCCCAGAUGGGAUUAGCUUGUUGGUGGGGUAACGGCUCACCAAGGCGACGAUCCCUAGCUGGUCUGAGAGGAUGACCAGCCACACUGGAACUGAGACACGGUCCAGACUCCUACGGGAGGCAGCAGUGGGGAAUAUUGCACAAUGGGCGCAAGCCUGAUGCAGCCAUGCCGCGUGUAUGAAGAAGGCCUUCGGGUUGUAAAGUACUUUCAGCGGGGAGGAAGGGAGUAAAGUUAAUACCUUUGCUCAUUGACGUUACCCGCAGAAGAAGCACCGGCUAACUCCGUG